Nicotiana tabacum (common tobacco) is the source of this 1081-nucleotide non-coding RNA. The record is from RefSeq and is a predicted model, not a curated record. NCBI's taxonomy places the organism in Eukaryota, Viridiplantae, Streptophyta, Magnoliopsida, Solanales, Solanaceae.
CAUCUUUCUCACAAAUCAGAACUCUUCCUCCAGAACUCCUCGUUUACUUCCCUAUCCGUGCAGCGCUUUGUCAGACCGCCAUAGCAGGCGAUUCUCUCUCUACUCUUCUCUCAUCUCACGGUCUAUCCUUUAUCUCCUAUUCUCUCCUUUCCUACUUAUCUUCUUGCUGAGGCCCUUAAUUCGAAAUACGGAAAGGAAUGGUGAAGCUUCUGGUCUACGUUGAAGCUCUCAUGGAGUUCGCAAAACUCCGUCGCCGCUUUAAUGAUCUCAACUCUCAAAUUUAAACAAAGUUCAGCCAGAAAUUGAUUUUGAAAAAUCAAUGCAUCUGCGGGCAGUGAUGCUCAAGUGGAGGAUGGUAUUUGGUGCAGACACUACCUGAAGGUUAUACAGGAGCAUACAAUAUCUAAACAAUUGAUAAGAAGGAAUGAAGAACUUCAACAAAUGAGCUAGAAAAUUCAUCCAAUGCCUCCAAACUGUCGAUGAAUGGAGAUGCAAGAAAUACGGUGGAUGUAAAAGCCCGGAUUGUUAAAGAGCCUAAUGGCAAAUCUAAGAUAUGGAAGCUCACUGAAAUUACUGAAUCAUCACAGUGCCGAUCCUUGAAGCUUCCUGAGAACCUCAGAGUGACUAAGGUAAUUCUGUUCUUCUUCUUUCUCUGGAUCCUUAUCUUGAAUGGUUAAAGGAGUUGACUAAAGAUUCUGCAGGUUAUAUCUGCCACAUACAACCUAUUCAGCAGUUUAAGAAAUGUGAAUAUAUUAGUUUGUACCAUGACCCUUUGACAUGCUUGCUAUUUUGAAUAUAAAGUUUUAUGUUUCGUACAUCAUGAUUGAAUUUUGAUUAUUUCUUGCUUAUUGCUUCAUUUUAUUUUGUAGCCACAGAAUAUAAGAAGAAUGUUGCAUCGCCGAACAGUCAGAAAGGAUCACCAAGUGGAAGUAACAUUGCUCCACAGAUUCAUGCAAGUGCUCGUUGAACAUAAUUUCUAGGAUUUAUUGUAGUUAUUUUCCUUGUAUUGAGUGAAUGUGAAAUACCACUUGAAAUUUUAAUACAUUUUAUGAUGUAUUUCUAGAAUAUUUAUAUUUUUAUA